This 577-nucleotide ribosomal RNA is filed under the name uncultured bacterium. RNAcentral describes it as "partial 16S ribosomal RNA". It matches the Rfam family "Bacterial small subunit ribosomal RNA", at positions 355 to 932 of the family's 1533-position model. The record is from RNAcentral.
UGGGGAAUUUUGGACAAUGGGCGAAAGCCUGAUCCAGCAAUGCCGCGUGUGUGAAGAAGGCCUUCGGGUUGUAAAGCACUUUUGUCCGGAAAGAAAUCCUUGGCUCUAAUACAGUCGGGGGAUGACGGUACCGGAAGAAUAAGCACCGGCUAACUACGUGCCAGCAGCCGCGGUAAUACGUAAGGUGCAAGCGUUAAUCGGAAUUACUGGGCGUAAAGCGUGCGCAGGCGGUUUGCUAAGACCGAUGUGAAAUCCCCGGGCUCAACCUGGGAACUGCAUUGGUGACUGGCAGGCUAGAGUAUGGCAGAGGGGGGUAGAAUUCCACGUGUAGCAGUGAAAUGCGUAGAGAUGUGGAGGAAUACCGAUGGCGAAGGCAGCCCCCUGGGCCAAUACUGACGCUCAUGCACGAAAGCGUGGGGAGCAAACAGGAUUAGAUACCCUGGUAGUCCACGCCCUAAACGAUGUCAACUAGUUGUUGGGGAUUCAUUCCUUAGUAACGUAGCUAACGCGUGAAGUUGACCGCCUGGGGAGUACGGUCGCAAGAUUAAACUCAAAUGAAUUGACGGGGUCAUAGCUG